AAACUUUUUGGUCACAAGUUUUACAAAGUUGUUUUCCCAGGGCAAGGCUCAUCCCCUGCACUCCGGUCCGGGUGUGCUGACCCCUCCGAUUUCCCCAAAUGCGGGAAACUCAACUGCACAAUUUGUGGUAGUGGGGGACUGCGUUCGUGCCCUCCCCCA
RNAcentral lists this small nuclear RNA (159 nucleotides) under Pygoscelis adeliae (Adelie penguin). RNAcentral describes it as "U1 spliceosomal RNA". It matches the Rfam family "U1 spliceosomal RNA", at positions 19 to 166 of the family's 166-position model. From Rfam's summary of the family: U1 is a small nuclear RNA (snRNA) component of the spliceosome (involved in pre-mRNA splicing). Its 5' end forms complementary base pairs with the 5' splice junction, thus defining the 5' donor site of an intron. Lineage: Eukaryota; Metazoa; Chordata; Aves; Sphenisciformes; Spheniscidae. The record is from Rfam by way of RNAcentral.